This is a long non-coding RNA of Perca fluviatilis (European perch), 242 nucleotides long. RefSeq lists it as uncharacterized. The transcript has 3 exons. Lineage: Eukaryota; Metazoa; Chordata; Actinopteri; Perciformes; Percidae. The record is from RefSeq and is a predicted model, not a curated record.
CUGGUCUGGGAGAUCCAGGUGUAUUUAGGUGGUACUGCGUCUGGUCUGGGAGAUCCAGGUGUGUUUAGGUGGUACUGCGCCUGGUCUGGGGGGUACUGCAUCUGGUCUGGGAGAUCCAGGUGUGUUUAGGUGGUACUGCGUCUGGUCUGGGGGGUACUGCAUCUGGUCUGGGAGAUCCAGGUGUAUUUAGGUGGUACUGCGUCUGGUCUGGGGGGUACUGCGUCUGGUCUGGGAGAUCCAGG